ACGGGAGGCAGCAGUAGGGAAUCUUCCACAAUGGGCGAAAGCCUGAUGGAGCAACGCCGCGUGAGUGAAGAAGGAUUUCGGUUCGUAAAACUCUGUUGUAAGGGAAGAACAAGUACAGUAGUAACUGGCUGUACCUUGACGGUACCUUAUUAGAAAGCCACGGCUAACUACGUGCCAGCAGCCGCGGUAAUACGUAGGUGGCAAGCGUUGUCCGGAAUUAUUGGGCGUAAAGCGCGCGCAGGUGGUUUCUUAAGUCUGAUGUGAAAGCCCACGGCUCAACCGUGGAGGGUCAUUGGAAACUGGGAGACUUGAGUGCAGAAGAGGAUAGUGGAAUUCCAAGUGUAGCGGUGAAAUGCGUAGAGAUUUGGAGGAACACCAGUGGCGAAGGCGACUAUCUGGUCUGUAACUGACACUGAGGCGCGAAAGCGUGGGGAGCAAACAGGAUUAGAUACCCUGGUAGUCCACGCCGUAAACGAUGAGUGCUAAGUGUUAGGGGGUUUCCGCCCCUUAGUGCUGCAGCUAACGCAUUAAGCACUCCGCCUGGGGAGUACGGUCGCAAGACUGAAACUCAAAGGAAUUGAC
RNAcentral lists this ribosomal RNA (582 nucleotides) under uncultured bacterium. RNAcentral's name for it is "bacterial SSU rRNA". It matches the Rfam family "Bacterial small subunit ribosomal RNA", at positions 341 to 914 of the family's 1533-position model. The record is from RNAcentral.